RNAcentral lists this ribosomal RNA (462 nucleotides) under uncultured bacterium. RNAcentral's name for it is "partial 16S ribosomal RNA". It matches the Rfam family "Bacterial small subunit ribosomal RNA", at positions 28 to 507 of the family's 1533-position model. The record is from RNAcentral.
GAUGAACGCUGACAGAAUGCUUAACACAUGCAAGUCAUUGGCGAAGCUGCGCUUGCGCAGUCUAGCCAAGGCGGACGGGUGAGUAACGCGUCAGGAGCUUGCCCUGCAGACAGGGAUGACAGACGGACACGACUGAUAACACCUGGUAUUGUCAGCCUGGCGCGUGCGGGCCUGAUGAGAGGAGACGCUGCAGGAGAGCCUUGCGUCCUAUUUGCUAGUUUGUGGGGUAACGGCCCACCAAGGCGAUGAUAGGUAGCCGGCCUGAGGGGGUGAACGGCCACUAGGGGACUGAGACACCGCAGUUACCCCCACGGGAGGCAGCAGUGGAGAAUAGUGGACAAUGGGGGCAACCCUGAUCCAGAAAUUCUGUGUGCACGAAGAAGGUUUUCGGAGUGAAAAGUGCUUUCAGGAGGGAAGAAGAAAGUGACGGUACCUGCAGAAGAAGCGACGGCUAAAUACGUG